Non-coding RNA from Zootermopsis nevadensis, 3077 nucleotides. The record is from RefSeq and is a predicted model, not a curated record. NCBI's taxonomy places the organism in Eukaryota, Metazoa, Arthropoda, Insecta, Blattodea, Termopsidae.
UACAAACAAGCGCUAGCACUGGCAAGGACGGCAGGCCAUAACAGAACCUGUCUGUGCCACACGGUGUCCUAAUAGCGCGUUCACCACAACACACUUAGGACCUACAAACCGUCAAAACCGUUGGAAUCCAAAAAAAAAACUACCGCAAACCAAAUUUACGUUCACCAAAUUUCCGAAAAACCAAAUUUCCGAAACCACGCUCUGCUACCAUUUGAGCCCCCCCGAGGAGGGAAAUUGCCAUAUUUCGUUACUGAGGCCACGAUCGUCCCAGGCCGGGAGGUGGUACGGCUUGGGGAGGGUAAAACGGUGAAAGUUAAAAGAAAACCAAAUGAAACUGCUUCGAAUAAUCGAAGUGUAUUAUUUAAUGAAAAAUAUAAAAUAAACAGAAUCAAGACAACUUUCAAGGCUCAAACUCCGGCUGGGUAUCCGACUCCAGAUGCCUCAACCUCCCACAAACCCUGACUUGCCUUCAGACUUUCUCCUCGAGUCGUUCUCUCCGGCGGACACACACAGACUGCCCUUCUGCCCUGCUGUCUCAUCAGGGUCUCGAUGCCGCCGACUCCAAAGACCUUGGAGAGGGGAGAUAAGCCACUUCGAGCCAUGAGGCAUGGCUCACUACACAUGAAAUGGAAGUGACCAAUUCAUACACAUUAACUUAGCAAACUUCUAUGAAGUUGUCCUUUAUUUAAAGGCAUUUUGAAGCAGUUGUGAUAGUGCAGUUUUAUUCUUUGCUGAAGACCAGUUUGGCGUGGAUCCUCACCCUCAAUUACCAUGCACUCAGCCUCACAAGACUGGCGACACUUUCAAGAAUCAAGUGACACAGUGGCUUCUACACCUAAACGUGAACCUCAUGUUGCACCAUUCUAAGACCAGGUGAGAUAUCUUAUUUAAUUUUAGAAGCAACCUACUUACGUCAUCCGUUAACCAAUAUUUCUACAAUUUUAUGUGUGUCCUGACAGUGGAACUCCGUGUCGAUGUUGGUAAUCUAGAUUGUAACGUCAUGAAAAUGUGCAAGUAGAUGCUCCAGUCUCUUCCUCACUGUGUCAGAUGUCCUUCGAAGGACAUCUUGGCUGGUUCAGAGGCCUUUCAUUUGUUUCAGUUCCAAUUAUCUUAAAUUUCUGUGGCUUUUCUUUAGUUUUAUUCUGUUGAAACCAUCUUUUCUUAAUAUUUUUCAUUCUCUGUUAAUUUCAACUGCCUGUAUAACUACUUACAGUUAUGCCAACAAACACAGUUGCAAUACUUAUGGUUUCAGCAGUCUCAGAUCAUAUUUUUGUUCUCUUGGGGUCGGUUGGUGAAUAUAGUGACUCAAAACAUGACGUUCGUGCCGUCGUGCGUCAUGCGCUGGAAGUUUUUAGAAGAGUGGGCUGUUUAUUUCUCAGUGCUCUGAGUUUUUACCCAGCAAUGAUAUUUUGUGUUAUGUCUGCUUUUUUCUGUUGGUUUGUCCCAUUCAGUGUAUGGCUUAUUUUCAAAAAUAUCAAUAACUCAGAUUAUUUGGCAUCCUGUGCUAAGCUAUUCAGUGAAUGAUGCACUGUAAAUAUGUGCAAGGAAGAACAUUUUGCCUCACUUAAGAUAAUGUCCAAUAUUUUCAUUGACUAACUGAGGAAGACCUGAAUGAGUAUAGCUGUUGUGUGGACUGAGAUUUCUUCAAUGUAGUUUUCAGACACAUUUAGUUUAAAUGAGAUUUUAAUAUUGACCUUCCAUACAAUGUUACAAUGGCAUGAAGGACUCAGAUGUCUGAUGUGAGUACCUCCACUCAUGAAUGCAUUAACUCCCCCAUAAAGGUAAUCACUAAGCAGGUUUACUUUGUCAUUUUGGCACUCAAUGUUUUCUCAGUAUCUCUCAGCCUUUGCUCUGGAAAUUUUACUUACAGAAUUGGUUUCUGUUCACAGAAUUUCUUGUUUCAGGUUACAUAAUUAAGUUGAAGUUUUGUGAAUUAUGGUACAGUUUAGCAUAAAUGUAGUUUAUUUACUUCGAUAAUGAGAAAUCUAUUACUUUCCACUGUAAAGACUUAUGUUCAGAUAUUUUGUCCACACUGAAUUUCUUAAUCCAAGUUUGAAUAUUCUCAUUUAUAACACUGUGUAUGAAGUAUGUGGUGCUGUCUUCCAUCACUAGUGCCAUAAUUUCUCCAGGUAUGUAUGACUGCCUCACACACUUCUAGUUUACUUUAUACAACAUUCAUAUCUGUUAAAAUAAUAAAAAUAAUUAGUGUUAGUGCCCUAACAAAGAAUGUGAUUCUGAAUUUGUCAUUAGCAGCCUCUGCAUGUACUGCCUUUGACCACUCCUUGAAAUCUCUGAAGAUCAUCCUGGGGAUGCUGGUGACACCAGCAGGAUGGACAUUCAACAAAGUGGCAGGAGUGGAAAAUCCAGUAGGAAUGACAGCACCUCAAGUUGACAGGAAGACAGGGCAUCAGUUGAGAAGACUGCAGAGGUCCAGUGACUUAACGCCGAAGAAAGUCUUCUGAAUGGAUGAAGACAUCAGAGUGGUGAAGAAGAAUCAUCUUCAAUGCCUAUCCUGUGCGUGCUUGCAGGAAUUCACAGCCAGUCCAUUUAUUCUCCAUCGCAGUACUGUAUAACUGGACUUCACAAUGUGUAACUUUGGCUUACAGGAAUAAGCAGUGUAGAAUGUUGAAGGUUUUCCAAAGUUUUGGCAAACACUUGUGCUGCUAUCAUCAGGGUGGAUGUCUUUCACAAAAUUCUAAAGCUUCUUCUUGACUUGGCUUUGUGGACUUGAUUAGAAUAACUGAGGAGAAAUGAUCUAUUCAAUGUGGCCAGGUGUACUGCUAGCUUCCAGUUGCUUAUCUGUUGAUCUGUGCUAAUUGUUAUGCAUAGCUAUGUGCCAAAUUCCCAAUCUUUUGAUGAUUAUAGUAUUUUUGGACAUUCUUUCUUGGUGGAUUUCUCUUUUUUAAUAGAAAAGUUUGCAUUUGUUUCUCUAAUCCUGUUCCAAGAAUGAAAUGGAAAUUCAUUCUGAUACUGCUCAGCUUCAUAAAAAAAUUUAUAGUGGUAUUGGGCUCAGAACUUGAAAUACUUUAACAUCAAAGCACCACAUAAUCUGUGAAAUAUAACUCAUCUCAAUUUAA